This 253-nucleotide ribosomal RNA is filed under the name uncultured bacterium. Its description in RNAcentral is "partial 16S ribosomal RNA". It matches the Rfam family "Bacterial small subunit ribosomal RNA", at positions 524 to 776 of the family's 1533-position model. The record is from RNAcentral.
GACAGAGGGUGCAAACGUUGUUCGGAUUUACUGGGCGUAAAGCGCGUGUAGGCGGCUUGGCAAGCUGGAUGUGAAAGCCCACGGCUCAACCGUGGAAGCGCAUCCAAAACUGCUUCGCUCGAGUCUCGGAGAGGAAGGUGGAAUGCUUGGUGUAGAGGUGAAAUUCGUAGAUAUCAAGCAGAACACCUGCGGCGAAGGCGGCCUUCUGGACGAUGACUGACGCUGAGACGCGAAAGCGUGGGGAGCAAACAGG